This 484-nucleotide ribosomal RNA is filed under the name uncultured bacterium. RNAcentral's name for it is "partial 16S ribosomal RNA". It matches the Rfam family "Bacterial small subunit ribosomal RNA", at positions 30 to 507 of the family's 1533-position model. The record is from RNAcentral.
AUUGAACGCUGGCGGCAGGCCUAACACAUGCAAGUCGAGCGGAUGAAGGGAGCUUGCUCCUGGAUUCAGCGGCGGACGGGUGAGUAAUGCCUAGGAAUCUGCCUGGUAGUGGGGGAUAACGUCCGGAAACGGGCGCUAAUACCGCAUACGUCCUGAGGGAGAAAGUGGGGGAUCUUCGGACCUCACGCUAUCAGAUGAGCCUAGGUCGGAUUAGCUAGUUGGUGGGGUAAAGGCCUACCAAGGCGACGAUCCGUAACUGGUCUGAGAGGAUGAUCAGUCACACUGGAACUGAGACACGGUCCAGACUCCUACGGGAGGCAGCAGUGGGGAAUAUUGGACAAUGGGCGAAAGCCUGAUCCAGCCAUGCCGCGUGUGUGAAGAAGGUCUUCGGAUUGUAAAGCACUUUAAGUUGGGAGGAAGGGCAGUAAGUUAAUACCCUGCUGUUUAGACGUUACCAACAGAAUAAGCACCGGCUAACUUCGUG